RNAcentral lists this ribosomal RNA (397 nucleotides) under Salmonella enterica. RNAcentral's name for it is "partial 23S ribosomal RNA". It matches the Rfam family "Bacterial large subunit ribosomal RNA", at positions 161 to 597 of the family's 2925-position model. RNAcentral also lists the same sequence under 1 other name. Lineage: Bacteria; Pseudomonadati; Pseudomonadota; Gammaproteobacteria; Enterobacterales; Enterobacteriaceae. The record is from RNAcentral.
AAUCCAUAGGUUAAUGAGGCGAACCGGGGGAACUGAAACAUCUAAGUACCCCGAGGAAAAGAAAUCAACCGAGAUUCCCCCAGUAGCGGCGAGCGAACGGGGAGGAGCCCAGAGCCUGAAUCAGCAUGUGUGUUAGUGGAAGCGUCUGGAAAGGCGCGCGAUACAGGGUGACAGCCCCGUACACAAAAGCGCAUGUGCUGUGAGCUCGAUGAGUAGGGCGGGACACGUGGUAUCCUGUCUGAAUAUGGGGGGACCAUCCUCCAAGGCUAAAUACUCCUGACUGACCGAUAGUGAACCAGUACCGUGAGGGAAAGGCGAAAAGAACCCCGGCGAGGGGAGUGAAAAAGAACCUGAAACCGUGUACGUACAAGCAGUGGGAGCACCCUUUGGGUGUGAC